ACGAUCAGCUGCGAACCCCGCCAGGCCCGGAAGGGAGCAACGGUAGCAGUGACAUCGUGUGCCGGGGUGUGGCUGGCAGGG
Molecule: signal recognition particle RNA, 81 nt
Filed under: Gammaproteobacteria bacterium
Lineage: Bacteria; Pseudomonadati; Pseudomonadota; Gammaproteobacteria
Description: partial signal recognition particle sRNA small type
Rfam family: Bacterial small signal recognition particle RNA
About the family: The signal recognition particle (SRP) is a universally conserved ribonucleoprotein involved in the co-translational targeting of proteins to membranes. Archaeal SRP consists of a 7S RNA and homologues of the eukaryotic SRP19 and SRP54 proteins.
Source: RNAcentral